RNAcentral lists this long non-coding RNA (1104 nucleotides) under Gadus morhua (Atlantic cod). RNAcentral describes it as "lncRNA (ENSGMOG00000028823.1)". Lineage: Eukaryota; Metazoa; Chordata; Actinopteri; Gadiformes; Gadidae. The record is from RNAcentral.
GAUCAUCUUUCAUUGGAUGGAGAUUUGAGUAACAGCAAUGACAGUUUGUCAGCUGACAACACUAAGGUAAAUGUUAGCAUGUUUUUAGCUCAGCUUUGUCAGUUAAUCAAAAAUCACACGAAACAUAACAACUUAACUCCCAUUUGAACUCUUUUCCUUCAGGAGAAGGGCAGUAAGUUUGGCGGGAUGUUUAAAGGCUGGACCAAAGGCGCCAACGACCAGGCUGAGGUGUGGUUUUGCCGCGUGGCGUUCUUGUCUCCAGGCUCUUCUUAUAUUAUGCACAUACUCUGCAUAUAUUCAAUCCAAAUGAAUAUUAACUCGCUGGACAUCGUUUCCCCCCAGGAGGAUCUGUCUGCGUCCGGGGACUUGAAGGGAAGCGUUGAUAAUCUCUCGGAGGGGAAAGAGGGCAAGGCGAGCAGAGCCGUACACAUCAGGCUAACAAACCACUGGUGGACCGAAGUAAGAGAAGGUCCCAGAUAACAUCUGGAUCUGUUUCUUUCCUCCAGGAGAAAGGAGGGCUGUUUAGUGGGGUGUUUAAAAAGAACAAGAGGACCCAGUCCGUGGAGGACCUGACCGCAGACUCUGAGCUGUCCGCCAGCACUGACAAUCUCGCAGAGAAGACUUCCAAGGGCGGUGUUAUGGGCAAGAUCCUGAAGAGUCCAUUCCAGUCCUCCGCCUGGCAGGAGAAGAGCGAGCAGCCUGCUGAUUCCAGUGACGCGCUGCGUGCAGAGGAAACCCGAGCCAGAAAGCAGGAUCGUCUUUCAUUGGAUGGAGAUUUGAGUAACAGCAAUGACAGUUUGUCAGCUGACUGCGCUAAGGAGAAGGGCAGUAAGUUUGGCGGGAUGUUUAAAGGCUGGACCAAAGGCGCCAACGACCAGGCUGAGGAGGAUCUGUCUGCGUCCGGGGACUUGAAGGGCAGCGUUGAUAAUCUCUCGGAGGGGAAAGAGGGCAAGGAGAAAGGGGGGCUGUUUGGUGGGGUGUUUAAAAAGAACAAGAUGACCAAGUCUCGGGUAAGUGUUUUUAGCAAACUCCGCUAGCAUUAGUAAACUAUUAUGGAUCUGUAAAGGCUUCAGAUCAACACCUUGUAGACUAGCCACUGUAGAA